CAGCCGCCGCGGGAAAACAGAGGGUGCGAGCGUUAAUCGGUUUUACUGGGCGUAAAGCGUGCGUAGGCGGCUUCUUAAGUCGGAUGUGAAAUCCCUGAGCUUAACUUAGGAAUUGCAUUCGAUACUGGGAAGCUAGAGUAUGGGAGAGGAUGGUAGAAUUCCAGGUGUAGCGGUGAAAUGCGUAGAGAUCUGGAGGAAUACCGAUGGCGAAGGCAGCCAUCUGGCCUAAUACUGACGCUGAGGUACGAAAGCAUGGGGAGCAAACAGGAUUAGAUACCCCCGUAGUCCCUGUCUCUAUACA
RNAcentral lists this ribosomal RNA (301 nucleotides) under uncultured bacterium. RNAcentral describes it as "partial 16S ribosomal RNA". It matches the Rfam family "Bacterial small subunit ribosomal RNA", at positions 509 to 808 of the family's 1533-position model. The record is from RNAcentral.